AUGCAUCUCUCCCUGUGGAAGCCGCUCUCCCACUGCGCCGCCAUCCUCCUCUCCAAGAACCACCGGCGGCGUGGCGGAGGAGGAGGAGGCGGCGGCGGCCAUGGCGGCGGCAACGGCCGGCGCGACGACACGGCGUCGUUCCUCCGGCAGCUGCGCGACGCGCUGGACGCCGCGUCGGAGGAGGGCGCCCUCUGCCCGCCGCCGGACGCCGCCGGCGCGGACGAGGACGCCGCCGUCACGCGCUCCCGCUCCCUGGCGCGCCUGCGGGCGCAGCGCGACUUCCUCCGCGCCACCGCGCUCGCCGCCGCCGCCGGCCCGUUCCGCUCCAUCUCCGACCUGCCGCUCCUCGCCCACGCCAUAGCCACCUUCCUCUCCAUGUACCCGGACUACGCCUCCACCUCCGACGUCGACCGCCUCCGCCUCGACCACUACUCCCACCUCGACGCCCCCGGCGCCGGCAGGGUCUGCCUCGACUACUGCGGCUUCGGCCUCUUCGACUCCAGCUGGGACUCCUCCUCCUCCUUCACAUUGUCCGAGCUCAAUGCCAAUCUGAGCAACCACGCGCUCUACGGCGGCGCUGAGCCCGGCACGGCCGAGAAUGACAUCAAGGAGCGGAUCCUGGAGUACUUGAAUGUGCCGGCCAGCGAGUACGCCCUGGUGUUCACUGUCAGCCGGGGGUCAGCGUUCAAGCUGCUCGCUGAGUGCUACCCGUUCGAGAACAACCGAAGGCUGCUCACCAUGUUUGACCAUGAGAGCCAGUCGGUGAACUGGAUGGCGCAGAGUGCGCGGGCAAAGGGUGCCAAGACGCGCACCGCAUGGUUCCGCUGGCCCACUCUCAAGCUCUGCUCGACGGAGCUGCGCAAGGAGAUUGUGGGCAAGAGGAAGGCCAGGCGACGGGAUGCUGCAGUCGGAUUGUUCGUGUUCCCUGCACAGUCUCGGGUGACCGGCGCCAAGUACUCCUACCAGUGGAUGGCGCUGGCACAGCAGAAUGGCUGGCAUGUCAUGCUUGAUGCUGGUGCACUUGGUCCCAAGGACAUGGACUCGCUGGGGCUCUCGCUGUUCCGGCCGGACUUCAUUAUAACCUCAUUCUACAGGGUGUUUGGUUCUGACCCAACUGGAUUUGGUUGCCUUCUGAUCAAGAAGUCGGUUAUUGGAAGCUUGCAGGGGAGGAAUGGCUGCAAUGCCUCUGGGAUGGUCAGGAUUGUUCCGGUCUUUCCACAGUACCUGAGUGACUCCAUCGAUGAAUUUGAUGCAGUGGAAACAGAGGGACUUGAAGAUGACCCUUGCACUCCGAAAGAUGAAAAUCCAGUGCCUGAUGUUCGAAACGGCUCACAGCUGCCAGCAUUUUCGGGUGUGUACACUUCUGCUCAGGUCAGAGAGACAUUUGAGAGUGACCCGGGUCGUGACAGCAGCUCGGAUAGGGAUGGGGCGAGCACCAUUUUUGAAGAAACUGAGAGCAUAUCUGUCGGUGAGGUGAUGAGGAGCCCGGCAUUCAGCGAGGACUGUUCAUCAGAGAACUCUUUCUGGGUUGAUGUUGGCCAGAGCCCGUUGGGGUCAGAGAAGUCUGGUCAGUUCAAGAAAGGGAAACUGGGAUCACCAUUACCAUCAUCUUGGUUCACUGGCAGAAAGGGUAACAAGAGGAUGUCACCUAACCUAGCAUCGAGGAUAUCUAGAAGCCCACUUUAUGAUGGUAAUGUGAUUUCUUUUGAUGCUGCUGUACUGUCAGUUUCACAAGAUGUAGACUGCCUCAGGGAAGACCCUGAAGAAGAAAUCUAUGAGAAUGGCCGGGGAAAUCAUUUUAGGCAAGUUAGUGAAAUCCAAGAGGAGCCAGAGGUUGAAGAGGUUGCAUGCCAACAUGCCAUGAACGGUGAUUUGGACCACAAGGAAAGUGCGAUAAGAAGGGAGACUGAAGGGGAAUUUCGGCUGCUUGGACGGAGGGAUGGAAACAGCAGGUUUGCUGGGGGUCGUCUCUUCGGUGUUGAAGAGAUUGACGGAGCUAUAAGCAUGGGGCGCAGAGUUUCAUUCAACACUGAGGCGAAUAUGAUUGCUGACAGACUACAUCGGGCCUCAGAUGCUGCUGAAGCGUCUGGAUAUCCAUUUCGUGAUGAUGAUGUAAGUGAUGGGUAUGAUGAUGCUCAAGACUGGAGCAGGAGGGAACCAGAGAUAAUUUGCAGGCACAUUGACCAUGUCGAUAUGAUGGGGCUCAACAGAACAACACUUAGGUUAAGGUACCUUAUCAAUUGGCUAGUAACUUCGCUGUUGCAGCUGAAGCUGCCAGGCUUGAAAGACAGUGAUGGAGUUCCUCUUGUCCACAUUUAUGGUCCAAAGAUUAAGUAUGAAAGGGGAGCGGCCGUUGCUUUCAAUCUGAAGCAAAGUGGUGGUGCUUUCAUUAAUGCUGAAUUUGUCCAGAAGAUAGCUGAGAAAAAUGGCAUAUCUCUCGGCAUCGGUUUUCUUAGUCAUAUAAAGAUAGACCCAAACCAGAAACAGUCAAAUGGAGCACUAGAUAUACCCGAGGCUUCCUUUUAUAAGAAUGGUCGCAAAGACAGUAAAAAGGUGACUGUAAGAGUUGAAGUUGUGACUGCUUCGCUUGGCUUCCUCACUAACUUUGAAGAUGUGUACAAGAUGUGGGCAUUUGUUGCCAAGUUCUUAGAUCCUUCAUUCCUGGAAAGUGAGCGUAUUGCCAUAGCUACUGACCAAAUGGAGGCCAUAGCUGCUGAGCACAUGGAAGGGCAAAUUUGA
RNAcentral lists this ribosomal RNA (2739 nucleotides) under Triticum aestivum (bread wheat). RNAcentral describes it as "partial small subunit ribosomal RNA". Lineage: Eukaryota; Viridiplantae; Streptophyta; Magnoliopsida; Poales; Poaceae. The record is from RNAcentral.